GCGGCCGUAGCCUAACGGUCAUCGCGCUUGCUUUCCACGCAAAAGGCCGGCGUUCGAUUCCUGGCCGCG
Non-coding RNA from Ixodes scapularis (black-legged tick), 69 nucleotides. The record is from Rfam. NCBI's taxonomy places the organism in Eukaryota, Metazoa, Arthropoda, Arachnida, Ixodida, Ixodidae.